RNAcentral lists this ribosomal RNA (448 nucleotides) under uncultured bacterium. RNAcentral describes it as "bacterial SSU rRNA". It matches the Rfam family "Bacterial small subunit ribosomal RNA", at positions 329 to 794 of the family's 1533-position model. The record is from RNAcentral.
GUCCAGACUCCUACGGGAGGCAGCAGUGGGGAAUAUUGCACAAUGGGGGAAACCCUGAUGCAGCGACGCCGCGUGAGCGAUGAAGUAUUUCGGUAUGUAAAGCUCUAUCAGCAGGGAAGAAGAUGACGGUACCUGACUAAGAAGCCCCGGCUAACUACGUGCCAGCAGCCGCGGUAAUACGUAGGGGGCAAGCGUUAUCCGGAUUUACUGGGUGUAAAGGGAGCGUAGACGGCGAUGCAAGCCAGAUGUGAAAGCCCGGGGCUCAACCCCGGGACUGCAUUUGGAACUGUGUGGCUGGAGUGUCGGAGAGGCAGGCGGAAUUCCUAGUGUAGCGGUGAAAUGCGUAGAUAUUAGGAGGAACACCAGUGGCGAAGGCGGCCUGCUGGACGAUGACUGACGUUGAGGCUCGAAAGCGUGGGGAGCAAACAGGAUUAGAUACCCGCGUAAU